This 465-nucleotide ribosomal RNA is filed under the name Vreelandella stevensii. RNAcentral's name for it is "partial 16S ribosomal RNA". It matches the Rfam family "Bacterial small subunit ribosomal RNA", at positions 338 to 795 of the family's 1533-position model. The record is from RNAcentral. Lineage: Bacteria; Pseudomonadati; Pseudomonadota; Gammaproteobacteria; Oceanospirillales; Halomonadaceae.
CCUAUGGGGGGCAGCAGUGGGGAAUAUUGGACAAUGGGGGGAACCCUGAUCCAGCCAUGCCGCGUGUGUGAAGAAGGCCCUCGGGUUGUAAAGCACUUUCAGUGAGGAAGAACGCCUGGUGGUUAAUACCCAUCAGGAAAGACAUCACUCACAGAAGAAGCACCGGCUAACUCCGUGCCAGCAGCCGCGGUAAUACGGAGGGUGCGAGCGUUAAUCGGAAUUACUGGGCGUAAAGCGCGCGUAGGUGGCUUGAUAAGCCGGUUGUGAAAGCCCCGGGCUCAACCUGGGAACGGCAUCCGGAACUGUCAAGCUAGAGUGCAGGAGAGGAAGGUAGAAUUCCCGGUGUAGCGGUGAAAUGCGUAGAGAUCGGGAGGAAUACCAGUGGCGAAGGCGGCCUUCUGGACUGACACUGACACUGAGGUGCGAAAGCGUGGGUAGCAAACAGGAUUAGAUACCCCUGUAGUC